RNAcentral lists this ribosomal RNA (1406 nucleotides) under uncultured euryarchaeote. RNAcentral's name for it is "bacterial SSU rRNA". It matches the Rfam family "Archaeal small subunit ribosomal RNA". Lineage: Archaea; Methanobacteriati; Methanobacteriota. The record is from RNAcentral.
GCCGGAGGUCACUGCUAUUGGGAUUCGAUUCAUCCACGCGAGUCGAGAGGGUUCGGCCCUCGGCAGACUGCUCAGUAACACGUGGAUAAUCUGCCCUUAGGUGGAGCAUAACCUCGGGAAACUGAGAAUAAUACUCCAUAAGUUUAGGAUGCUGGAAUGCGCCUAAACUCAAAGAUUUAUCGCCUAAGGAUGAGUCUGCGGACUAUCAGGUUGGAGUCAGGGUAAUGUCCUGACUAGCCUACAACGGAUACGGGUUGUGAGAGCAAUAACCCGGAGAUGAUGUCUGAGACACGACAUCGGGCCCUACGGGGCGCAGCAGGAGCGAAACCUUCACACUGUGCGAAAGCGCGAUGAGGGGAUCCCAAGUGCUUGCUCUUAGGAGUAAGCUGUUUUCCUGUUUAACUCGCAGGAAGAGGAAGGGCUGGGUAAGACGGGUGCCAGCCGCCGCGGUAAUACCUGCAGCUCAAGUGGUGACCGCUAUUAUUGGGCCUAAAACGUCCGUAGCCGGCUGAGUAGAUGCCUGGGUAAAUCGUGUCGCUUAACGAUACGAAUUCCGGGUAGACUGCUUAGCUUGAGACUGGGAGAAGCUAGAGGUACUCCUGGGGGUAGAAGGUGAAAUUCUGUAAUCCUGGGGGGACCACCAGUGGCGAAAGCGUCUAGCUAGAACGGGUCUGACGGUGAGGGACGAAACCCUGGGGCGCGAACCGGAUUAGAUACCCGGGUAGUCCAGGGCGCAAACGCUGCUUGCUUGAUGUUAGCUGGGCUCCGAGCUCAGCUAGUGUCGGAGAGAAGUUGUUAAGCAAGCUGCCUGGGAAGUACGAUCGCAAGAUUGAAACUUAAAGGAAUUGGCGGGGGAGCACAGCAACGGGAGGAGCGUGCGGUUUAAUUGGAUUCAACGCCGGAAAACUCACCGGAGGCGACGGUUACAUGAAGGCCAGGCUGAUGACCUUGCCUGAUUUUCCGAGAGGUGGUGCAUGGCCGCCGUCAGUUCGUACCGUAAGGCGUUCUGUUAAGUCAGAUAACGAACGAGACCCUCAUCCUUAAUUGCUACUGACAACUUUGGUUGUUGGGCACAUUAAGGAGACCGCUGACGAUAAGUCAGAGGAAGGCGAGGGCAACGGUAGGUCAGUAUGCCCUGAAUCCUCCGGGCUACACGCGCGCUACAAAGGCAGGACAAUGGGUUUCGACACCGAAAGGUGAAGGUAAUCCCGAAACCUGGUCAUAGUUCGGAUUGAGGGCUGAAACUCGCCCUCAUGAAGCUGGAUUCCGUAGUAAUCGCGGAUCAACAUCCCGCGGUGAAUAUGCCCCUGCUCCUUGCACACACCGCCCGUCAAACCAUGCGAGUUGGGUCCAAGUGAGGAUGUAGUUUUUUGCUACGUUCAAACUUGGGCUUAGCAAGCGGGGUU